AGAGCGAACGCUGGCGGCAGGCUUAACACAUGCAAGUCGAGCGGGCGUAGCAAUACGUCAGCGGCAGACGGGUGAGUAACGCGUGGGAACAUACCUUUUGGUUCGGAACAACACAGGGAAACUUGUGCUAAUACCGGAUACGCCCUUACGGGGAAAGAUUUAUCGCCGAAAGAUUGGCCCGCGUCUGAUUAGCUAGUUGGUGAGGUAAUGGCUCACCAAGGCGACGAUCAGUAGCUGGUCUGAGAGGAUGAUCAGCCACAUUGGGACUGAGACACGGCCCAAACUCCUACGGGAGGCAGCAGUGGGGAAUAUUGGACAAUGGGCGCAAGCCUGAUCCAGCCAUGCCGCGUGAGUGAUGAAGGCCCUAGGGUUGUAAAGCUCUUUGUGCGGGAAGAUAAUGACGGUACCGCAAGAAUAACGCCCGGCUAACUUCGCGCCAGCAGCCGC
RNAcentral lists this ribosomal RNA (447 nucleotides) under uncultured bacterium. Its description in RNAcentral is "SSU rRNA". It matches the Rfam family "Bacterial small subunit ribosomal RNA", at positions 26 to 518 of the family's 1533-position model. The record is from RNAcentral.